GGAGGAGGGUGUUGAAGACUGAAGACGAGGUGCUGGGGGAGAUGUUUUGUUUUUUCAAACCGACACCCAAAUCCUUUCUGCCCCCAGCGACCUGUGUGCAGGACUGAUUGGAGGGCUCGGUGUGACACCAAGUGGCAACAUCGGCGCCAACGGGGUCGCGAUCUUCGAGUCGGUCCACGGGACGGCCCCCGACAUCGCGGGCAAGGACAUGGCCAACCCCACGGCCCUGCUGCUCAGCGCGGCGAUGAUGCUGCGCCACAUGGGGAUGUUCGACCACGCCGGGCGCAUCGAGGCCGCCUGCUUCGCCACUAUCAAGGGAGGCAAGAGUUUGACCAAAGACUUGGGAGGUAAUGCCAAGUGCUCCGACUUCACAGAAGAAAUCUGCCAGCGAGUGAAGGAUUUAGAGUAAGGCUCCCGCCGACGUGUCCGCACCAGCCACUCCUAACGCCGCCACGUCAGCCGCCUGAGAGCACGCCCGUGUGCGCUGGUCCCCGUCCCCGACCGAGUCCACUCCAAUCGGCCUUUUAACAAACCCGAGCAGAGGAUGCAGGCGACGCCCGAGGCCUGCUCCCAAGUGCUCGUCUGGUGGGUCGUGUCUAUUUGGUAUAUAUUUUUUGUAAACUCUAAGCGGACUGUAUCAUUUGCCAUUGUUAACCAUUUACACUUCAGUUAAAACAGUUUUUCCUCAGCUGUAAAUAUGACACAGAAUUAAUAAGAAAACAUCUCACUUUUCAAAGAAAAAGUUUUCCUUAGCUUAUGAAAAAUAUACUGGAAAUAAAACAAUACUGACGUAAUAGCA
Long non-coding RNA from Myotis lucifugus (little brown bat), 799 nucleotides. RefSeq lists it as uncharacterized. NCBI's taxonomy places the organism in Eukaryota, Metazoa, Chordata, Mammalia, Chiroptera, Vespertilionidae. The transcript has 3 exons. The record is from RefSeq and is a predicted model, not a curated record.